RNAcentral lists this long non-coding RNA (1470 nucleotides) under Dromaius novaehollandiae (emu). RNAcentral describes it as "lncRNA (ENSDNVG00000016140.1)". The record is from RNAcentral. Lineage: Eukaryota; Metazoa; Chordata; Aves; Casuariiformes; Dromaiidae.
CAUCUAUAGUUUCAUUUUUUUAUAAUUGUCACUCUCAUCACUGCUUACUAAUGUAUGCAGUGAUGCUUGGCUACUAUCACAAAGGAAAAAAGACUGCUCUGCUCUACAUUCCAUUUCUCCCUUUUUGAAGGAUAUUACAAUGCCUGCUUUAAGGGUAGUAGGUCUACUAGCUUUAAAUGCUUGCAAAACAGACUUCUGCAAGUCAGUAAGGUUUCUAGGUCUCCAUUAUAGCAGAUACAGUCAGUUGAGAUUAGGAUGCAACCAUCUUACCAAAUGUAGGUAUCUAUGUCACAGUGAAAACAAUAAAUCUCUGCAGGCCACGGAUGGCAUUGAAUGGGUUUGCACUGAAUAAAAUGAAGAUCUAGAUACUUGGCUGGGAUGUUACACCUACACUGGACAUACAGUGAGUACAUUCUACAGCAUGAUCUUUAUGGUAAACAGUAUCCUAGUAACAGAAGUAAUUGGCUGUUGAACUCAGAAAAAAAUAUUAUUUUGCACUGUAUUUCGAACAAAGAGAAAAGCUGGAGGCAAGAUUACAAAUACCGGAUGGACACAGCCUGCAAGUAUGGACUAGGAAAGGUUGGAAAGGUAAACACCUGGUCUUUAAAACAUAUUAGUUGUUAGAUUUUUGCUUUAGAGUAAAUUAAAGAUAUUAACAGGUGUAAAUUGUUAUACAUGAAUCAAUCUGUGUAUCUUUUGUUGGGGAAGGGUCUCAUCCAGCAAAGUUCAUGAACACGGUAGAAUGACUAAGAUGAUAGUUAAAUUGCAGUCCUGUGUUUAAGCGCCUUGCUGAACUAGGAUCUUGCUGCUCAUGUUCUCUCUAGAUAUGUACUCAGACAUAUCAUAAUACAGAAUAUUAAAGAAAUACAAUCCAGUAAGAUGUUGUAUCUAGUUUUAUGCCCAAUAUGAUGCAGGAUAAACAUUUUAAAAUUAAGAAACAAACUGUAAUAAGUGCUUCGCAGAUAGAACCCCAAAGUAAUCUUUUCAUGUAUAAUUCAGUGCAGUUUAUUUAUUUGCUUGGCUAAGGAAUAUUUCAGCUAGAUACAAUAAGAUGGAAAACGUAGGAUGGAAACGUAUAUAUAUAAUGAUGUAGGAUUUUUAACAUGCUGGGUAAACAUAUACUAUAGUAGAGAUCAACAGCUAUAUAUUAAAUGACGUAACUUUUUUCAGGUGAGCAGGGUUCUUAUAGUCCAGUUCAUUCAAUACAAUUAUAAUUGAUGUUAACAGAAAAUGUAAAUUGGAAAAGAUGUUAAUUUACUGUUGGCAAAACUGUAUUCUAAUUGAAAUAUCUCAUCCUAGUGCAAUAAUUAAAAUGUUGGCAUACAAAAAUGAUUAUUAUGACCUUAAAAACAAAUUAUUUGACCUGUAUAAUGAUGGUACUUCUUUUAAAUACACUCAGUAGGAUCUUUCCUCACUGAUUUGCACAGCAUGGUGGAGACAAAAGAAAAUAAAGGUCAGAGCCAAAAGACA